Molecule: long non-coding RNA, 514 nt
Organism: Dermacentor andersoni
Lineage: Eukaryota; Metazoa; Arthropoda; Arachnida; Ixodida; Ixodidae
Source: RefSeq, a predicted model, not a curated record
CAUAACUGCAUUUAUUUCCAUAAUCCCCCAUUUGAAUGGCCUUUUCUUUUUGCUUAGACAAUGCCUACGCCUAGCCACAGCAGCUCCCUCAUACAGACUCCGCAAGCCACGAGGCCGUGGAGGCAAAUGCAGGCAGCCAGCACACCUCGAACAGCCACCUUGACUGCGGGUGUGUCACCCUAGUCGCCAAGGAAACAUUUGAGGGAAAGCGACAGGUAAUGUGAACAGCUACUUCUCCAUGUAAACGAUACUCUUUCUCUCGGAUGACUCCUACGCCUCGCCAUGCCAGCACACUUGUGCACAAAGUUGCUGCGGAGGCACGUGCAGGUCAGAGGCAAGAAGCAGUGGCACUGGUGUCGACAUUCACCCAAUUUCUUUUUCUUACACUGAGGCAGCCAGCACACCUCAAACAGCCACCUUGACUGCGGGUGCGUCAGUAGAUUCCUGUUGUACAUAUGCUCAUAAUAAAAUUCAGUAAACUUGAACUUGAUAAUAAACUUGAAGGCAAAUGGGA